AGGAAGUGGACCCGAGCUGCAGGCCCAGCGUGAGUGAGAGAGGGUAGAGAGGAGGCGAGUGAGAAAAGUAAGGCCGGGGGUUUUGGGGUAAAAGUUAGAUUUUCUUUUGUUAGAAUAAUAGCUUAAAUUUGUUUAUCACCUUUUAAAUCACAGAAAUUUCUAGGAGUGUCCAAAAUUAGUGAAACCAAUUUUGUUAGGAUUGUUUUAUUUUCCUUUAUGCAUUAAAAUUCUUAUACCCUAGGAAAAAUAAUAAAAACUUAGGUAUUUGUUUAAUGCCUUUUCAUUAAGGUAUUUAAAUAAAUACUUAACCUUUAUUAAAUGCAUAAAAUAUGGAAUAAUGUUUUCAUAUUCACAAAUUAUUAUUAACCCAUAGGAAAUUAGGUUUUGAGACUAGAAAAUAAUUAUAAUAUUUUCUAAAAAUAAAGGAAAAAGCCUAAGGUAGGGUUAGUAAAGAAAAUAAAAAUGGUGGAUUAAUCUUUUUGGGUUUUUGUGUGUUGGCUU
This 501-nucleotide long non-coding RNA is filed under the name Setaria viridis. Its description in RNAcentral is "long non-coding RNA (SVIR_LNC004581)". The record is from RNAcentral. Lineage: Eukaryota; Viridiplantae; Streptophyta; Magnoliopsida; Poales; Poaceae.